Molecule: ribosomal RNA, 301 nt
Filed under: uncultured bacterium
Lineage: Bacteria
Description: partial 16S ribosomal RNA
Rfam family: Bacterial small subunit ribosomal RNA
Source: RNAcentral
CAGUCGCCGCGGUAAUACGAAGGGGGCUAGCGUUGUUCGGAAUUACUGGGCGUAAAGGGCGCGUAGGCGGCCAUUCAAGUUAGAUGUGAAAGCCCUGGGCUCAACCUAGGAAUUGCAUUUGAUACUGUUUGGCUUGAGUUCGGGAGAGGUGAGUGGAAUUCCCAGUGUAGAGGUGAAAUUCGUAGAUAUUGGGAAGAACACCAGUGGCGAAGGCGGCUCACUGGACCGACACUGACGCUGAGGCGCGAAAGCGUGGGGAGCAAACAGGAUUAGAUACCCGCGUAGUCCCUGUCUCUUAUAA